This 21-nucleotide unclassified non-coding RNA is filed under the name Mus musculus (house mouse). RNAcentral's name for it is "oocyte_clustered_small_RNA13554". The record is from RNAcentral. Lineage: Eukaryota; Metazoa; Chordata; Mammalia; Rodentia; Muridae.
CGGAACCAGGCCUGCGUCCGG